UGUAAACUUUCACAUCGAGGUAACUUUUUUUUUACUUUGUUGGUAAAAAGAGUCCGGUCUACAGAGGUUCCACCGAGAUUUGAACUCGGAUCGCUGGAUUCAGAGUCCAGAGUGCUAACCAUUACACCAUGGAACCACGGAGGGGUGGGGCGGCUGCCGCUCUGACAGACUCUGAGCGGCGGCUCCUACAGCGCAGUGUAAUUAUCUCCGGAGAUCUCAACCUCGGAGGCUUCAAACCAACUCAAACUCCUUCCUCAGCUCCGGGUCGGAAGUUCAAAUCCCGAGAGAACCGACAGAGUUCGACCCGGUUAUCUCUGCGCUACAUUAUCACACUCAAACGCUCUCACUCACGGCGCUCCGUCACCACCAGGGGUGGAUUAAAAACACAAACAACAGGAAUUCUGCAGAUGCUGGAAAUUCAAGCAACACACAUCCAAGUUGCUGGUGAACGCAGCAGGCCAGGCAGCAUCUAUAGGAAGAAGUGCAGUCGACGUUUCAGGCCGAGACCCUUCGUCAGGACUAACUGAAGGAAGAAUGCCUGCAAGAAACUGAAUCUGGCAGUGGUUUAUCGUGGCAUAUAUAGAAGUGGUUUGCCAUUGCCUUCUUCUGGGCAGUGACUUUACAAGACGGGUGACUCCAGCCAUUAUCAGGGAUUGUCUGCCUGGGUGUCAGUGGUCACAUAACCAGGACUUGUGACGUGCACCGGCUGCUCGUACGACCAUCCACCACCUGCUCCUGUGGCUGAGUGGGUGCCACACCAUGAGGGACCUGCAGGCCAUCGGAGGGAAGGAACCCCUCACACCUCCUUUGCUAUCAGCAAUGUAGCAUAUCUUGGUUGCAUCACGCAGCAAGUUCUGAGUAAUCUUCCACAUUCCUACACUACACAAUUUCCAGGUAUUCAGUUGGUUCCGGUGAAUUUCACAUCAGGAAGUGGAAACGAUGCCAGAACUCCUGUUUAUGUCAAUGGUGUUGAGGUCAAGAGAUUCAGGUUUCUAGUUCAUCACCAUUAGUCUGUCCUGGUCCAGUCCUGUUGAUACCACCACCAGGAAAGCUCACAAAUGCCUCUACUUUCACAGGAGGCUACAGAAACGUUGCAUGUUCCCCUUAACCCACACCAAUUUUCAAUGCACCUUCGAAAGCAGCCUGUCUGGGUGCGUAACAGCUUGGUACAGAAACUGCUCUGCACUUGACUGCAAGAAACUGCAAAUAGCUGUGGACACAGCUCGGCACAUCACUGAAACCAGCCUCCCCUCCAUGGACUCUGUCUACACUUCCUGCUGCCUCAGGAAAGCAGCCAGCAUAAUCAAAGGCACCACCCAGCCCAGACAUUCUCUCUUCUCCCCUCUCCCUUUGGGCAGAAGAUACAAAAGCCUGAAAGCACAUUCCACCAGGCUGAAGGGCAGCUUCUACCCCACAGUUCGAAGAUCGUUGAACAACUCCCUAGUACCUCAUAAUCAGUUUUGUUAUGAUCAUGCACCUUAUCAUCUGCCUGCACCACACUCCCUCUGUAACUGUAACACUUUAUUCUACAUUGUUACCAUUAUUAUUGGGUGGUGGGGUGGAGAUUCGUCUCUAUAAAAAGGAGGUGAAAGGUGCUCCUUCCCUCCACUCGCCCCCAGGUCAGCCUUGGGCAAAGUGUAGCACCUGCUUAGCACCUCGAUCAGGGUCACGUGAAACCAUGGGAGCAGGUGGUGGAUGGUGUGACAAGAAUACACAUAGAUUAAGAUUUUAGCUGUCCUGUGUGAUCAGCAGUUGGUCUGCCACCUGUCUUCAGGAGAGAGAGAGAUAAGGAAAACAACGGAGCAGCAUUUGGAGAUGUGUAAUGAAGGGACGGGAGAGAGAGUAACAGAAGGAGGGAGCUGUCAAGAGCGGCUCCCCCUUUGAACCCUGAACUGUUUGAAGUGAUGGACAGGCGAUACCCCCACAGGGGGAUAAAAAGGGACAGGUUCGCUAAGGCAGGACACACACGACACCCGAGGUAACAAGACCCUGGAAGCGGAGCGUCUCUCACAAGUCGGUGGGAAGUACCGGGCCAUAAACGCACAGGGUGGAAAGGCGCGAUCGGCGGGAACCUGGUGUGUGUCCACCCUUGCCUGGGUGCCAGGUUCACCGCAGGGAAACGAUUCGUAUCGGGAAACGGAGGGGUCAUGGUCGGUGACCUCAGAUGACAUCACAAAGGACUCGCCGGAAAGCUGACUGCGAAGGUCUGUGUGUGGAAGCCGUUUUGAAUAUUCAUUUGUUUUGCUCUCUCUCUCCUUCCCCCACACUGUCCAUCUCCCACGGCAGCGAUUACUGCGAACUGAACUGAACUUUGCGUCACUUUGAAACUGGUCAUUUGCCCCUGGACAACGAUAGAGCUUGAUUGAUCCUGUUAUCUGA
Mobula hypostoma (lesser devil ray) is the source of this 2379-nucleotide long non-coding RNA. RefSeq lists it as uncharacterized. Lineage: Eukaryota; Metazoa; Chordata; Chondrichthyes; Myliobatiformes; Myliobatidae. The record is from RefSeq and is a predicted model, not a curated record. The transcript has 4 exons.